GACGAACGCUGGCGGCGUGCUUAACACAUGCAAGUCGAGCGGUAAGGCCUUUCGGGGUACACGAGCGGCGAACGGGUGAGUAACACGUGGGUGAUCUGCCCUGCACUUCGGGAUAAGCCUGGGAAACUGGGUCUAAUACCGGAUAUGACCUCCUAUCGCAUGGUGGGUGGUGGAAAGAUUUAUCGGUGCAGGAUGGGCCCGCGGCCUAUCAGCUUGUUGGUGGGGUAAUGGCCUACCAAGGCGACGACGGGUAGCCGACCUGAGAGGGUGACCGGCCACACUGGGACUGAGACACGGCCCAGACUCGUACGGGAGGCAGCAGUGGGGAAGAUUGCACAAUGGGCGAAAGCCUGAUGCAGCGACGCCGCGUGAGGGAUGACGGCCUUCGGGUUGUAAACCUCUGUCAGCAGGGACGAAGCGCAAGUGACGGUACCUGCAGAAGAAGCACCGGCUAACUACGUG
Molecule: ribosomal RNA, 462 nt
Filed under: uncultured bacterium
Lineage: Bacteria
Description: partial 16S ribosomal RNA
Rfam family: Bacterial small subunit ribosomal RNA
Source: RNAcentral